RNAcentral lists this small nuclear RNA (128 nucleotides) under Octodon degus (degu). Its description in RNAcentral is "U4 spliceosomal RNA (ENSODEG00000025641.1)". It matches the Rfam family "U4 spliceosomal RNA". From Rfam's summary of the family: U4 small nuclear RNA (U4 snRNA) is a component of the major U2-dependent spliceosome. The structure of U4 snRNA from yeast and human has been reported. Lineage: Eukaryota; Metazoa; Chordata; Mammalia; Rodentia; Octodontidae. The record is from Rfam by way of RNAcentral.
AGCUUUGCGCAAUGGCAGUAUCAUAGCCAAUGAGGUUUAUCCGAGGCACGAUUAUUGCUAAUUUAAACAGAAACACGAAAUCUCCUAGAAGAGAAAGUAGGAGGAUCUCUUGAAGACAUAGGGGUAGG